ACCGUGGGUAACCCGUAGGUCCCCUCGGUACUAGGGGGAAGUUAACAACGUUGGAAACGGGACUAGCUAAAACCGACCAUAACAUGGAGAUACCGCAUGAUAUUUCCUAUCAAAUAUUUAUAGGUACAGGAUGGGCCCGCGUCUGAUUAGCCAGUUGGCAGGGUAAUGGCCUACCAAAGCGACGAUCAGUAGCCGGCUUGAGAGAGUGACCGGCCACAUUGGGACUGAGACACGGCCCAAACUCCUACGGGAGGCAGCAGUGGGGGAUAUUGCACAAUGGGGGAAACCCUGAUGCAGCGACGCCGCGUGAGUGAAGAAGUAUUUCGGUAUGUAAAGCUCUAUCGGCAGGGAAGAAAAAGCGCGCGAGCGCCUUGACAGUACCUGACUAAGAAGCCCCGGCUAACUACGUG
This 410-nucleotide ribosomal RNA is filed under the name uncultured Lachnospiraceae bacterium. RNAcentral's name for it is "bacterial SSU rRNA". It matches the Rfam family "Bacterial small subunit ribosomal RNA", at positions 100 to 507 of the family's 1533-position model. The record is from RNAcentral. Lineage: Bacteria; Bacillati; Bacillota; Clostridia; Lachnospirales; Lachnospiraceae.